RNAcentral lists this ribosomal RNA (335 nucleotides) under Campylobacter coli. RNAcentral describes it as "bacterial SSU rRNA". It matches the Rfam family "Bacterial small subunit ribosomal RNA", at positions 1197 to 1533 of the family's 1533-position model. Lineage: Bacteria; Pseudomonadati; Campylobacterota; Epsilonproteobacteria; Campylobacterales; Campylobacteraceae. The record is from RNAcentral.
GGCCCUUAUGCCCAGGGCGACACACGUGCUACAAUGGCAUAUACAAUGAGACGCAAUACCGCGAGGUGGAGCAAAUCUAUAAAAUAUGUCCCAGUUCGGAUUGUUCUCUGCAACUCGAGAGCAUGAAGCCGGAAUCGCUAGUAAUCGUAGAUCAGCCAUGCUACGGUGAAUACGUUCCCGGGUCUUGUACUCACCGCCCGUCACACCAUGGGAGUUGAUUUCACUCGAAGCCGGAAUACUAAACUAGUUACCGUCCACAGUGGAAUCAGCGACUGGGGUGAAGUCGUAACAAGGUAACCGUAGGAGAACCUGCGGUUGGAUCACCUCCUUUCUAG